ACGAUAUUGUAAGUUUGGUUAUAGUUUGAACAAGGAGCUGGACUUUGUGGAAAGUCUGAGUUUAUCAAAAUGGGCACCAGUUUUGGGAAGGAGUCAAUGAGCUCACAUGUAGUGGACAAACAGAAUAAAGGAACAAGAGAAGACUCUAAGAUACAAAGCGAUGGAAGGGCCGCACCACCAUCCCAGUCCAAUCGUGCCCAACCAGAUUAUUCUACUCCAAUGCCUAAACCAAAACCAUCUCCAGAGCUUCCCAGCCCACCGAAUAGUACCGAAUAGUACCGUCCGAAUCGCGGAGAACACGCUGAUAUUGAUGUGCAAAUUUGUGAAUUAUUUGAUUUGAUCAUGGCUAAAUGGUGCAUUUUCUUGUCAUAGUAACGCAUAAAAUCAAGUGUCAUAGCAUUUUAAGUUCUGAUGAAACUUUGUGAAUGAAUAUUUUAACGUUAAGAAGCGACGAGGAAGACCAUCUUUACGGUAUCGUAAUCUUUUAAACAAAUAUCCAUCAACCGUAGAUGAAAUGCAUGGUGCACACUAUAUGGUUAUUAGUGGUAAUCCAAGUGAAACAAAUCAUGACAUACUAGUUUAAAAUGUAAUAAAGGAAUUUACGUUUCAUUGGACACAUGUUGAACCAGCAUUAAACGUUGUAUACACAAACAAUGUGCAUCAUCAUCUUUUACCUGAACACAAACUGAACAAAAUGCAUGAACAGAUAACACAUUUUCCUAGUAUUGUCGGUGUGUUUAAUAAGUUUCGACAUUAAAUGUUUCGGACAGAUUACAAGUCGAAAGUUCUAGUCUAUGUUGUGAUGAUAUGUAUGUCCAACUAAUUUUCGCUACAUCUUAGUUUUUGGAAACAUUAAACUGUCAGUGAAUGCAUCUUUCUAAAUCAACAAUACAUAUUUUCCAACCAUCAUCUAUGUUUUGGUUAGCUUUCUCGUUUUUUGAUUGUUUUAGGUUAAUUUGCUUCUCCAUAAUGAGUGUCUGUAAAGGGAUAAUUAGAGAAUGUUUACCAAUUUAUCCUGGCAAUAUCACUAUCCGACUACUUCUACACUUAAGAAAAAAACAUGAAA
Long non-coding RNA from Dreissena polymorpha, 1066 nucleotides. RefSeq lists it as uncharacterized. The record is from RefSeq and is a predicted model, not a curated record. NCBI's taxonomy places the organism in Eukaryota, Metazoa, Mollusca, Bivalvia, Myida, Dreissenidae. The transcript is spliced from 3 exons.